This is a long non-coding RNA of Rhincodon typus (whale shark), 1377 nucleotides long. RefSeq lists it as uncharacterized. The transcript has 3 exons. NCBI's taxonomy places the organism in Eukaryota, Metazoa, Chordata, Chondrichthyes, Orectolobiformes, Rhincodontidae. The record is from RefSeq and is a predicted model, not a curated record.
UUUCUUUUUCUGAAACACAGCAUGGAGAAAAAUGGGAGGGACAUCCAUUAGGCACAGUUCAGGAUUUCCUGCACAAUUACAUUCUUCACAGCUUAUUGUGUUGUGCACAUGCGGGUAAAACACCAAGUUUUGUUGGCAGGAUGUUCUGAAGCCUGCUGUGACAAUCUGGGCUCCAAUGUCCAGACAAUAUAUUUGAAAGGUAUUGAGAAGCGCUUAACUCUGUGCAACCCAGAGACAUCUCUCAGCUUCUGCUCAUCACCUCCACCCACUCCAGCGAAAUCAGACACCAGGCAACUAGCAAUGCUAAGCUUCAGUGAUGCCACGUUAGGAGUUCUCCUGAGGCUAUCCAGGAGAGAAGCAAGCUCUUUUCCUUGAAGAUCGUAAAAAGAGGUCAUCCCAGAUCCUGGACAGAUGUGGGUCCAUACCAUCAAUGUCUGUGGACAGCUCGAGAGAACCUGACUCCAGUGUUGCAAAAGGAUGAAUGAUUUGCUGUGUUCUGGUAAGGUUCUUCAUACAAAGCUGAAAGCUACUUUUGUAUUGAUGUUAUUCAACAUAUUCAAACUUGAACUGAGCGGUUGAAAAAGGUGGCCACCUGAUGAUCCAACAGGUUUGGGGAUUUUAGGAAUUGGAACCUCUCCCCUAUCUCAACAAAGUAACAAAAGGAAUCUUUCGACUGAAGUAUCAAUGCCCAAGCAUGAAAGUAAUUCAGUGGUGUCAGAUUCUCAAGACAAAAUCCUCAACUACAGUGGAAUUACAGUGGACCUUAAUGAUCCAUAUUAUUUGGGAAAGGACUUGUAACAGGUGAUGAGACAGCCAUUCUCUCUACUUGCUGUUAAAAACACAAGAAGCUGUCUUCAACAGAGAGUGCCAUCAGAAGCCCAUUGAAACGGCUGUAAGUUAUCUAAGCAGCCAAGGUAAUAAAUAGCAAUGGUUUGAAAGAGGAAGAAGGAUUUCUUCCUGUUCAAGUUUACCUAAGGAGAAAGAAAAUGAAUUUAAAAGUAGAACUAGGAAAUAAACAUGCUGGUCAUACUGGAUUUCUGUUUUCAGGUAUGCAAGGUAAGUCAGACCAGUUUCCAUCAUUUCCAAGUUUUAGUCCUGGAAAUUUGACUACUGUACAAGAAGCCUUGCAACUUACCAAGAUGUCCACAACAAAAGCAUUAACUCAUCUAAGCCAUUUCAGAAGACACUGAAGAAGUACUAAAUUAUAAUUUUUGUUUAACCUUCACCUGUAUCCGUAUUCGUAUAUGUGAGAUAAUUAAGUGAAUCAUUACAUUUUAAAUAUCUAUGGCAAUUUGUGCAACAACAAAUAACCUCUUUAAUUUUAAAACUCUCAGCUUACUGUUUGAAUUAUUGAAUUAGGACAAUCAUUUUGAGUGU